UACGUAGGGUGCGAGCGUUGUCCGGAAUUACUGGGCGUAAAGAGCUCGUAGGUGGUUUGUCGCGUUGUUCGUGAAAACUCACAGCUUAACUGUGGGCGUGCGGGCGAUACGGGCAGACUGGAGUACUGCAGGGGAGACUGGAAUUCCUGGUGUAGCGGUGGAAUGCGCAGAUAUCAGGAGGAACACCGGUGGCGAAGGCGGGUCUCUGGGCAGUAACUGACGCUGAGGCGCGAAAGCGUGGGGAGCAAACAGG
Molecule: ribosomal RNA, 253 nt
Filed under: uncultured bacterium
Lineage: Bacteria
Description: partial 16S ribosomal RNA
Rfam family: Bacterial small subunit ribosomal RNA
Source: RNAcentral